AGAGGUGAACGCUGGCGGCAGGCCUAAUACAUGCAAGUCGAACGGCAGCACAGCAGAGCUUGCUCUGGUGGGUGGCGAGUGGCGGACGGGUGAGGAAUACAUGGGAAUCUGCCCAGUCGUGGGGAUAACGUAGGGAAACUUACGCUAAUACCGCAUGCGCCCUUCGGGGGAAAGCCGGGGACCUUCGGGCCUGGCGCGAUUGGAUGAGCCCAUGUCGGAUUAGCUAGUUGGCGGGGUAAUGGCCCACCAAGGCGACGAUCCGUAGCUGGUCUGAGAGGAUGAUCAGCCACACUGGAACUGAGACACGGUCCAGACUCCUACGGGAGGCAGCAGUAGGAAUAUUGGACAAUGGGCGCAAGCCUGAUCCAGCCAUGCCGCGUGAGUGAAGAAGGCCCUCGGGUUGUAAAGCUCUUUUGUCCGGAAAGAAAAGCGCCGGGUUAAUACCCUAGUGUCCUGACGGUACCGGAAGAAUAAGCACCGGCUAACUUCGUG
RNAcentral lists this ribosomal RNA (492 nucleotides) under uncultured bacterium. RNAcentral describes it as "bacterial SSU rRNA". It matches the Rfam family "Bacterial small subunit ribosomal RNA", at positions 28 to 507 of the family's 1533-position model. The record is from RNAcentral.